This 380-nucleotide ribosomal RNA is filed under the name Rhizobiaceae bacterium. RNAcentral describes it as "bacterial SSU rRNA". It matches the Rfam family "Bacterial small subunit ribosomal RNA", at positions 402 to 796 of the family's 1533-position model. The record is from RNAcentral. Lineage: Bacteria; Pseudomonadati; Pseudomonadota; Alphaproteobacteria; Hyphomicrobiales; Rhizobiaceae.
UGAGUGAUGAAGGCCUUAGGGUUGUAAAGCUCUUUCACCGGAGAAGAUAAUGACGGUAUCCGGAGAAGAAGCCCCGGCUAACUUCGUGCCAGCAGCCGCGGUAAUACGAAGGGGGCUAGCGUUGUUCGGAAUUACUGGGCGUAAAGCGCACGUAGGCGGAUAUUUAAGUCAGGGGUGAAAUCCCAGAGCUCAACUCUGGAACUGCCUUUGAUACUGGGUAUCUUGAGUAUGGAAGAGGUAAGUGGAAUUCCGAGUGUAGAGGUGAAAUUCGUAGAUAUUCGGAGGAACACCAGUGGCGAAGGCGGCUUACUGGUCCAUUACUGACGCUGAGGUGCGAAAGCGUGGGGAGCAAACAGGAUUAGAUACCCCUCUGGUAGUCA